This is a non-coding RNA of Vicia faba (fava bean), 207 nucleotides long. NCBI's taxonomy places the organism in Eukaryota, Viridiplantae, Streptophyta, Magnoliopsida, Fabales, Fabaceae. The record is from the annotation of a GenBank genome assembly.
AUGGUGUUUGAUCAUGUAAUGCAACAUUGGUUAUGUGAUCAAAACUUAUGGCUUAUGCUCGCUUCCAACGCGAUACGUCUUGUUUCUUAUUUCAUGAGAAAUGUCCUUUAUUCACACUUGUUGUAUAUUGUCUGGAUAUGUAUAACACUUUGUGUAGGAACUCUGAUAUAUGGUGCGUUCGUGGCAUGCAUUUUUAUAUUCAUUUAG